CCUACGGGCGGCUGCAGUGGGGAAUAUUGCACAAUGGGCGCAAGCCUGAUGCAGCCAUGCCGCGUGUGUGAAGAAGGCCUUCGGGUUGUAAAGCACUUUCCGCGGGGAGGAAGGCGGUGAGGUUAAUAACCUCAUCGAUUGACGUUACCCGCAGAAGAAGCACCGGCUAACUCCGUGCCAGCAGCCGCGGUAAUACGGAGGGUGCAAGCGUUAAUCGGAAUUACUGGGCGUAAAGCGCACGCAGGCGGUCUGUCAAGUCGGAUGUGAAAUCCCCGGGCUCAACCUGGGAACUGCAUUCGAAACUGGCAGGCUAGAGUCUUGUAGAGGGGGGUAGAAUUCCAGGUGUAGCGGUGAAAUGCGUAGAGAUCUGGAGGAAUACCGGUGGCGAAGGCGGCCCCCUGGACAAAGACUGACGCUCAGGUGCGAAAGCGUGGGGAGCAAACAGGAUUAGAUACCCGAGUAGGC
This 465-nucleotide ribosomal RNA is filed under the name uncultured Klebsiella sp. Its description in RNAcentral is "bacterial SSU rRNA". It matches the Rfam family "Bacterial small subunit ribosomal RNA", at positions 338 to 795 of the family's 1533-position model. Lineage: Bacteria; Pseudomonadati; Pseudomonadota; Gammaproteobacteria; Enterobacterales; Enterobacteriaceae. The record is from RNAcentral.